Molecule: ribosomal RNA, 253 nt
Filed under: uncultured bacterium
Lineage: Bacteria
Description: partial 16S ribosomal RNA
Rfam family: Bacterial small subunit ribosomal RNA
Source: RNAcentral
UACGUAGGUGGCAAGCGUUGUCCGGAUUUAUUGGGUUUAAAGGGUGCGUAGGCGGUCUUAUAAGUCAGUGCUGAAAUAUCCCAGCUUAACUGGGAGGGUGGCAUUGAUACUGUAGGACUUGAGUAAAGUUGAGGUAGGCGGAAUUGACGGUGUAGCGGUGAAAUGCUUAGAUAUCGUCAAGAACACCGAUAGUGAAGACAGCUUACUAAACUUUAACUGACGCUGAGGCACGAAAGUGUGGGGAUCAAACAGG